GUUUUAAUAGUUUAAAUAAAAACACUGGUCUUGUAAACCAAAAUUAAAGUAUCUUUUUAAAACA
RNAcentral lists this transfer RNA (64 nucleotides) under Gryllotalpa orientalis (oriental mole cricket). Its description in RNAcentral is "tRNA-Thr". It matches the Rfam family "tRNA". Rfam says of the family: Transfer RNA (tRNA) molecules are approximately 80 nucleotides in length. The record is from RNAcentral. Lineage: Eukaryota; Metazoa; Arthropoda; Insecta; Orthoptera; Gryllotalpidae.